Molecule: long non-coding RNA, 274 nt
Organism: Stegostoma tigrinum
Lineage: Eukaryota; Metazoa; Chordata; Chondrichthyes; Orectolobiformes; Stegostomatidae
Exons: 3
Source: RefSeq, a predicted model, not a curated record
AAUGUGAUAAGGAUUAUGUCGAGGUCGAUGGACAGAGAUACUGUGGGGAUCACUCGAUCCUGACCCACCGGAUUGAGAAAUCUCAGGCCGUUGUCUGGUUUCAUUCGGAUGAAUCCCACACAGACCGAGGGUUCAUAGCCAAUUACCAAGGAUAUGACCCCAGGAACCCCUGCCCUGGGGAGUUCCUGUGUCGCUCGGGGCUCUGCCUGAGCCUCUCGCUGAAGUGUGACGGCUGGAAUGACUGUGGGGACAUGAGCGACGAGCAGCAGUGCAG